RNAcentral lists this long non-coding RNA (1112 nucleotides) under Homo sapiens (human). RNAcentral's name for it is "non-protein coding LINC02413:10". Lineage: Eukaryota; Metazoa; Chordata; Mammalia; Primates; Hominidae. The record is from RNAcentral.
CUUGAACGUGGGAGGCAGAGACUGCAGUGAGCCGGGUUGUGUCACUGCACUCCAGCCUGGGCGACAGAGCGACAGAGUGAGACUCCUUCUCAAAAAAAGAAAGACUAAAUCAAAGAGCACAGGGAGGAGGAGGUGCAUGCAAGCGAUACUGCAGGGCCAGAAUCAGAAUCAUCAGCACGUAGCAACUGAUUGGAUUUCUGGAGCAAGAAAGAAGAGUUGAAGAUAAUGUUGAACUUUCUCAUUGGGAGAUUUUACUAACAUUAUUGAGCAAUUACUGCAUGAUGGAUGUUACGCUAAGAGCAUUCUACAAUUAUUAUACCUCUUACGUCUCCCAGUAGUUCUGUUAAGCACACAAUACACCGAGCAAGAGUUUCAGGCAUUCUGAAAAUGCAGGGGACAUAUCCCAGUAAGAAUGGCACUGAAUACUGUGGAUACAAAGAGCCCAGAGUCAUCAAGAGGAACCAGGAACUCUAACAUGAUGUGUGGAGCAGGCUAUGCAAAGAGGGGUACCUCUCCCAGUCAGAGGCAUCAGAGAAGGCUUCCUGGUGGAGACUAUUGAUAUCAACCUUGCUCAACUGGUUGAAAUAGUGUUUGUCACAUUUCUUCAUUGUGAAGUUACUUUUCCCUCUUUCCACACUACUCUUCAGAAGGAAGUCACUUAAAGAAUGGGAAGCUAUGUUCCACCUCCUUCAGGAACGUGUGUGAUGGACUUAUGGACUCAUUCACUGCAUCGAUCUUGGGCACUGCCCAGCUUCAUGUUCCACUCUCCCGUUUAUCCCAAAUUGCUGAGGAUUUCCUAAGAACCAUCACUUUCCAGAGCUCAUUAUUUUCUGUUAUUUGCCUCAGCAGCACAAGCUGUUUUCACAAAGAAAUAAAGGGUCUUCUAUUCCAGAAGAGUUCUUCUAUGCAUGUAGGUGAGCAGACAGUGCAGAGCCAUGCUGAGGUGUGUGUGCCUUGCUGUCACUGUCUCUCCUCCGGGAGGAACACUAGGCUCCUGUACACCAGGCUUCCCACAGCCCAGGAGGAACACAUCCACGCCUUGCCAGUCAUUUGCAUCUUAGUAAGACUAAAACUAAUAAAACUAACAAUAAAACUUAAAAUAGAUUGAAGGA